RNAcentral lists this unclassified non-coding RNA (394 nucleotides) under soil metagenome. RNAcentral describes it as "partial contains 5.8S ribosomal RNA, internal transcribed spacer 2, and large subunit ribosomal RNA". The stretch from base 2 to 119 matches the Rfam family "5.8S ribosomal RNA", at positions 37 to 154 of the family's 154-position model. The record is from RNAcentral.
GUGAAGAACGUAGUGAAAUGCGAUAAGUAAUGUGAAUUGCAGAAUUCAGUGAAUCAUCGAAUCUUUGAACGCACCUUGCGCCUUUUGGUAUUCCGAAAGGCACACCUGUUUGAGCGUCAUGAAUACCUCAAUCUCCAUCUUUUCUUCGGAUUGAUGGGUGACUUGGAUGUUGAGCCCUGCUGGUAUGCUAUAUCAGCUGGCUUUAAACUUAUUAGCCGGCUCUGUACUGGAUCGGUUUGACUCGACGUGAUAAUAUUAUCGUUGAGGAUGCAUGUCUCAUGCAGCCGGAAAGUAUCAAAGCAGCUUCUAGCUUGCCUUUAGUGCACUUUUACAUUUUAGACCUCAGAUCAGGUGGGACUACCCGCUGAACUUAAGCAUAUCAAUAAGCGGAGGA